Molecule: long non-coding RNA, 505 nt
Filed under: Homo sapiens (human)
Lineage: Eukaryota; Metazoa; Chordata; Mammalia; Primates; Hominidae
Description: non-protein coding ITFG2-AS1:29
Source: RNAcentral
ACAGAUCCAGGCUGUCUCUUGCGGUGCGCAUGCACCUACCGUAUCGUUAUCAACGUCUCCGAGGCAGAUUGCGUGCGGGAAGAGGCUCCCGCUGAACUCCAGCGCCACGCGCUGCACGUAGCUAACUGACCUCAUGGCACCUCCAAGAGCAGAGGGAGCGGAGAGGCCCAGUAAAUAUUCCCUGAACCCCCGUCGCGACAGCCGCCAGAGCGGAAGGCCACCUAAGGCAGCAAGUUACGUCACUGCCUGAACCUCCAAUCUCUGCCUCUUCCUCCUUUAACCUUACAGAGGAGGCGGGUCUUCCGGGCUUGGAGGCGGGCUUCCCAACUCUGAUCAAGACUUGGUUUGAAAAAGGAGACAAAAGGCUGAGAGAUCUGAGUUCAAGUUUCCGCUGUAUGUGGUCGUCAGACUAAGGUCUGGUUUGGAGACAGGAGAGCGAGAGGAGUAUGAGUGAAGAGAAUAGAAACAGUUCAAAACAGGUAAGGAAGAAACCAGGUUAUAGGUG